RNAcentral lists this small RNA (183 nucleotides) under Marmota monax (woodchuck). The record is from RNAcentral. Lineage: Eukaryota; Metazoa; Chordata; Mammalia; Rodentia; Sciuridae.
AAAAACAAUGAUGUUGUGUCCGCCGAGAACUAAAAAAUAAAUAUUAAAAAAAAAAAUUCUCUCUCUCUCUCUCUCUUUUUUUUUUUAAUAUUUAUUUUUUAGUUCUCGGCGGACACAACAUCUUUGUUUGUAUGUGGUGCUGAGUAUCGAACCCGGGCAGCACGCAUGCCAGGCGAGCGCGCU